RNAcentral lists this transfer RNA (64 nucleotides) under Schizodactylus jimo. Its description in RNAcentral is "tRNA-Glu". It matches the Rfam family "tRNA". Rfam says of the family: Transfer RNA (tRNA) molecules are approximately 80 nucleotides in length. The record is from RNAcentral. Lineage: Eukaryota; Metazoa; Arthropoda; Insecta; Orthoptera; Schizodactylidae.
AUUUAUAUAGUUUAAGAUAAAACAAUACACUUUCAUUGUAUAAAUAGCCCAUGGCUUAUAAAUG